UUUUUAUGGAGAGUUUGAUCCUGGCUCAGGAUGAACGCUGGCGGCGUGCCUAAUACAUGCAAGUCGAGCGAACAGACGAGGAGCUUGCUCCUCUGACGUUAGCGGCGGACGGGUGAGUAACACGUGGAUAACCUACCUAUAAGACUGGGAUAACUUCGG
RNAcentral lists this ribosomal RNA (159 nucleotides) under Staphylococcus epidermidis NIHLM031. RNAcentral's name for it is "partial 16S ribosomal RNA". It matches the Rfam family "Bacterial small subunit ribosomal RNA", at positions 1 to 152 of the family's 1533-position model. Lineage: Bacteria; Bacillati; Bacillota; Bacilli; Caryophanales; Staphylococcaceae. The record is from RNAcentral.